UAAACUAGGAGCUCCCUUGCAGAGUUUA
RNAcentral lists this non-coding RNA (28 nucleotides) under Mus musculus (house mouse). The record is from RNAcentral. Lineage: Eukaryota; Metazoa; Chordata; Mammalia; Rodentia; Muridae.